GAUGAACGCUGGCGGCAUGCCUAACACAUGCAAGUCGAGCGAACAGACCAGGAUUUUGCUCCUCUGACGUUAUCGCCCGUCGGGUCAUUCACUUUUCUAUAACCUACCUCUAAGACUGUGAUAAUUUUGGGGAACCCGAGCUUUUACCGGAUAAUAUAUUGAACCGUAUUGUUCACUCGUUAAAUACGGUUUUGCUUUCACUUAUAGAUUACUCCGCGCCGCAUUAGCUAGUUGUUUAGGUAACGGCUUAGCCAGGCAACGACGCGUAGCCGACCUGAGAGGGUGAUCGGACACACUGGAACUGAGAAACGGUACAGACUCCUAGGGGAGGAAGCAGUAGGGAAUCUUACGCAAUGGGCGAAAGCGUGACGGAGCAAAGCCGCGUGAGUGAUGAAGGAGUUAGGAUCGGAAAACUAUGUAAGUAGGAAAGAAGAAAAGUGUAAGUAACUAGGAACGUAUUGACGGUACCUAAUCAGAAAGCCACGGCUAACUACGUG
RNAcentral lists this ribosomal RNA (497 nucleotides) under uncultured bacterium. RNAcentral's name for it is "partial 16S ribosomal RNA". It matches the Rfam family "Bacterial small subunit ribosomal RNA", at positions 28 to 507 of the family's 1533-position model. The record is from RNAcentral.